This is a long non-coding RNA of Olea europaea var. sylvestris, 1419 nucleotides long. RefSeq lists it as uncharacterized. The record is from RefSeq and is a predicted model, not a curated record. The transcript is spliced from 3 exons. Lineage: Eukaryota; Viridiplantae; Streptophyta; Magnoliopsida; Lamiales; Oleaceae.
AUGAUCGCUCAAGACAACGGUAUGCAAUCUCCUACAGCUGGAAAAUGGCUUCCUGUUCCAGAAGCUGCUGAAGGUUUGCAAGCUGAGCCUCCGUUUGAGUUCCAGGUUUGGGAAAUCACAUUAGAGGUGGUCUGUACGUAUUUGGAUUCCAGUGUUGCCGAACUUGAGAGAGAUGCUUACCCUGUUUUAGAUGAACUGGCCAGAAAUGUUAGCAUGAAGACUCUUGAGCAUGAGAGAAGUUUGAAAAGCAAUCUCACUCGAUUACUUGUGCAGCUGCAAAAGUGACUCCACAUCGACAAAUCAUCUCGAAAGCAAUAAGAGCUGCUGAAAUGGUCCAAGACUUCGAAUUGCCUUGUCUGAGCCUUGUUUAAACUUUUAGACUUGAGUAUUUAUGCAUGCAAAUUGAAGAUUACCAGCAUCAAAUAUUGUCGAUCUAUUGUGAUUUGUACCAGUGCAAUUAGACUAACUACAGCUGGCCCUGCAUUCUGGAACCGCUUCCAUCUUAUAUCUCUUCCUUGGAUCGAUAUCUGGUAUCAAAAUCUAUAUUGCACCCUUUAUUAUGCAUUAGGAGUCUUUAAAUUCUUUUGGCUAGAUUUUCCAGUAAGGCAUUUUUUUCUUUUUGGAUAGUCUUAUCAGCAUUUUAGCACGUUUUGCUAAGUUCUAAAGAGUGAGAUCAAUUCUUAGCGAAUCAUGAGUAGAUUACUUUCGUCCUAUAUGCUAAUGAAGGGGCAAACAUUCGUCUGGCGGUAUGAGAGAUGUGAGAUCGAACAUCUUUUAUAUGACAAUGAAGAUAUGGCUCAAUUAUACUUAACAAGGAAGUGGAUACAGAAUCAGCAAUCUGAGGCUUUGAUGGGAGAAAUGGCAGCAAAUGGCAUUUUUUCCACUGUACCUCUUCUCAGACAGCUUUACAAGAAGUGGUGCUUUGGUAAGCAACUAUCUAAAUGACAAAACAUGGAGGACAUAGAAAUAUUACUUGAAGCUUACUUCAUGCAACUGGAUGGCACUCGUAACAAGAUACUGUCUGAUUCACCUUGAUGAAACAGCAUCUCAUUUGGGCACUGAUCCUGUAGAAUAGCCUGCAAUGCUGACCGAAACUUCUGGCUCUCCUAAAUUUGACAAUCUGAAAUUGAUUGCAAACGAGAAAUUCAAAAGCUAACCAUUUCCUUACCUGUUUUUUGUUUUUUCUGAGAAUAUAUGUCUGCUUAAUGAAUGUUCAAAAGUCCAGUGGCAUGAAUAACUUUACUUUUUCUAUUCUCUUGCACUUCCACUUUUUUAUGCCCCCUGUUUGACAACCUUUAUUUGAAAACUACUUUUUCUACAUACUUAUUUUCAAUUACACAUUCACACGAUAAAAUAUUGUACAUGUAGACUCAAAACUUUUUCCUACUUUUUAAGAAUAAUGAUAUUUGCAAUCACUCA